GUCCACGCCCUAAACGAUGCUCACUAGGUGUUGGGGAAGCGAUUCCUUGGUACCGUAGCUAACGCGUGAAGUGAGCCGCCUGGGGAGUACGGCCGCAAGGUUAAAACUCAAAGGAAUUGACGGGGACCCGCACAAGCGGUGGAUGAUGUGGAUUAAUUCGAUGCAACGCGAACAACCUUACCUACCCUUGACAUGUCUGGAAGGCUGCUGAAAGGUGGCUGUGCCUGAAAGGGAACCGGAACACAGGUGCUGCAUGGCUGUCGU
This 264-nucleotide ribosomal RNA is filed under the name uncultured bacterium. RNAcentral's name for it is "partial 16S ribosomal RNA". It matches the Rfam family "Bacterial small subunit ribosomal RNA", at positions 793 to 1055 of the family's 1533-position model. The record is from RNAcentral.